RNAcentral lists this ribosomal RNA (428 nucleotides) under uncultured bacterium. Its description in RNAcentral is "bacterial SSU rRNA". It matches the Rfam family "Bacterial small subunit ribosomal RNA", at positions 28 to 457 of the family's 1533-position model. The record is from RNAcentral.
GAUGAACGCUAGCGGUGUGCCUAAUGCAUGCAAGUCGAACGGGAUCCUUGGAUUCGUCUGAGGUGAGAGUGGCGAACGGGUGAGUAACACGUUGGUGACCUACCCCAAAGAGAGGGAUAACUAUUGGAAACGAUGGCUAAUACCUCGGAUGUAUUACUGUUUAGAAAGGUAAUACUAAAGCUCCGGCGCUUUGGGAGGGGCCUGCGGUCCAUCAGCUAGUUGGUAAGGUAAUGGCUUACCAAGGCAAAGACGGAUAGGGGGCGUGAGAGCGUGACCCCCCACACUGGUACUGAGACACGGACCAGAUACCUGCGGGUAGCAGCAGCAAGGAAUAUUGCGCAAUCGACGCAAGUCGGACGCAGCAACACCGCGUGAAGGAUGAAGGCCCUCGGGUCGUAAACUUCUUUUCUGGGGGAAGAGAAAGGACG